This 87-nucleotide transfer RNA is filed under the name Microbacterium phage Cece. RNAcentral's name for it is "tRNA-Ser". Lineage: Duplodnaviria; Heunggongvirae; Uroviricota; Caudoviricetes. The record is from RNAcentral.
GGAAGCUCCUAUUGGCGCAGUUAGCUGUCUUGAAAACAGUGAACAGGCAGAGAUGUCUGGUACGGGUUCGAUUCCCGUAGCUUCCGC